Carassius auratus (goldfish) is the source of this 2188-nucleotide long non-coding RNA. RefSeq lists it as uncharacterized. NCBI's taxonomy places the organism in Eukaryota, Metazoa, Chordata, Actinopteri, Cypriniformes, Cyprinidae. The record is from RefSeq and is a predicted model, not a curated record. The transcript is spliced from 3 exons.
AAAGAACGCGAAACAGAUAAAACGACAAUAUAUUGACAUUACAUGCAAUAAAUUAGUUAUUGCCGUUUAAAUCACAGAUGCAGACUGGCACUAAAGAAAUAGGAGAGGUGAUUUUGAAUCGUGAUGCAUUAAUAGGCUAACGUUAGGUCUUUUAAGUUCCUUGGUCUGACCCACAUUACUCCGCUCUAAUUAAUAACCAGUACAUCACUUUUAAGUAAAAAUUUGACCCAGGGCUAUCCCGCUUUCCAUAUGCAUAUCCGCGUGCUGCAGCUUUGGCCAUCACCAUGCAUACAUUUAAAAGCAUCUUUUCAGUCCCGCAUCUCAAUGCAGAUAUCUCGAUUUGAUCAUCGUUUAUUCGACGCUCAGGUCUCAUUGGCUAGAUUUAUAUGCGGGUGUAACAGCAUGUCAAAGCAACAUAUGUCGUCCGUUUUAGCUGUUAAUCUACGACAAAAGACGAACUGAUGUCAUUUUGUAGCCUCUUCGUUUUGUCCGAAUUAUGGUUUCGUCUUGCGGUAAAAUCUGUAGCUACAGCCCAGCGAGCGCACGGACAGAAGAAUUUUUCCAUGGUUCCCCUGGUUUGUGAGAUGUCCGCAGCUUUGAAAAACACUGGUGUAAAGAUGGCAUGGAUUGGAGAGGCCCGCUGUGCUGCUGCUGCUGCCCACACACCGGUGCAGUUGCACUGUUUGGCCGCCGGAGGGCAGCGCGGGACCGGAACACAGUGGCAGCGGAGGGAGGGGGGAAAGGGAAGGCGGUCGAGAGAUCGCUGGCCGUGCAACACGGACUAUAGUUCAUCUCACGGGUCAGCGCAUAUUUUAAACAGCCUUUAUUACACUAACCCAGACCCCUGUUUUUUCCCCUCCCGUUUUUAAAUCCGUUUACUGAGGGUCUUUUAUAAGCAGAAAUGUGAAAAGUGCUGACUGCUAACGUUAUUCCCAUUUUGAGGAUAUCUGACCUCAUCAAAUUACAGUUGGGGUUUUGAAUAUUUCAUAUUUGAUCAAAAGCCCUUUACAAGCUGCACACAUACACAUGGGCCGACAUGGGGCAUGAUCAAUUUUUAAAACUCCAAUCAUUAUGCACAAAUUGACCCACAAUGCCCACUUUAAUUCAGGUAUUUAUUAAGAAACCUUUGCAACCAUUUCACUUGUAUUAUUUCAAAGGUGUCUGUAAUGAAAGCCUAGGCAUAUAGUGUCUAGCAUUAGCCUUUUGUGCUAUAAGUUUGGUGCUUGCACGUAAAGCGAUUCAUGCACUCUGGUUGCUAUCGAACUGCACAACACUGCAGUUCCCCUUUUAACCCCCCAUCGAAAACACUUUAAAAUGGCCAGCCUAGGACGGAGGCCAAUACUGGCCUUGGCUGUACCUUGAAUAAUGAAUAAUUCAUCUGUUUGACCUUUAGCUGAAGUUUAUUGGAGGGUGAAGGCAUCCUGCUGGCCUGCCUGCUGCCUGGCCCAGCUUGAGCUCUGUUUCCCCUCUCAGUCACGUCUCCUUCGAUAUCCUCGCCUUCUCUCGCUGUCACCAAGUGAGGUGUGAGGACACAAAAUGUCUUGACCAUCAAAGUUCCUCGCCGUGUCUUGGUCUUGUGUUUUGACUUGUUUUGAAGGUCAGGUUUGUUACGUCCACCUAUAUUAAACAUAACCUCUGACCCAGCAUGAGUUGCUCAGAAUCAUGGGAUCGUCCUCCUGUUGUGUGUCUACCCUGUGAAACAUAUUGUAUGUUAACGUAAAUCCAGUGUGCAGAAUGACAGUGAGUGAUUGCUCUGAAUUGGUUGCAUGUUUUAGAACUACGUUAGUUUUCAAUUAAUCCUCGAUUCCAGCAUCCCAACAGUCCCAUGAGCUCUUUCGCAAUGAAAUGGCUGACUGGACUGUUUUACCUGUCGCCUUAGGCUGGUGCUAAAUGUCAUUGACAUUAAAUUUCCUUUAAGUCUGAUUUAAUUGUGUCACUGGUGAUUUCUGUCCUCAACUGGCCAAAUAUGUCAAAUUCUGCUCGUUCCAUUUCCCUUAGCUUAUGCUCUAUAAUGGGUUAUGUCUGCUCAUCCUGUUUUGCAAUAUUAACAUGCCCUUCACGGCUAAGACUGAGGGUUUGAGUGGUUAUCAAAUGGGCACUUUCAAAAUCUCUAUAUAUUGAUAAUUUGUUUGAAAACAUUUGCAUUUGAAAGGUUUUAUACCAAAAGUAUCUCCAAGGACACCAUCAA